UACGGAGGGGGCUAGCGUUGUUCGGAAUUACUGGGCGUAAAGCGCACGUAGGCGGCUUUGUAAGUUAGAGGUGAAAGCCCGGAGCUCAACUCCGGAACUGCCUUUAAGACUGCAUCGCUUGAACGUCGGAGAGGUAAGUGGAAUUCCGAGUGUAGAGGUGAAAUUCGUAGAUAUCGAGAGGAACACCAGUGGCGAAGGCGACUGACUGGACCGGUACUGACGCUGAGGCGCGAAAGCGUGGGGAGCAAACGGG
This 253-nucleotide ribosomal RNA is filed under the name uncultured bacterium. Its description in RNAcentral is "partial 16S ribosomal RNA". It matches the Rfam family "Bacterial small subunit ribosomal RNA", at positions 524 to 776 of the family's 1533-position model. The record is from RNAcentral.